UGUGAGUGGAGUUCAGACUGGUGUGGUCUUCCCAGGGCGAGGCUUAUCCAUUGCACUCCGGAUGUGCUGACCCCUGCGAUUUCCCCAAAUGUGGGAAACUCGACUGCAUAAUUUGUGGUAGUGGGGGACUGCGUUCGUGCUUUCCCCUGGAAAAAA
Herpailurus yagouaroundi (jaguarundi) is the source of this 156-nucleotide long non-coding RNA. RefSeq lists it as uncharacterized. NCBI's taxonomy places the organism in Eukaryota, Metazoa, Chordata, Mammalia, Carnivora, Felidae. The transcript is spliced from 3 exons. The record is from RefSeq and is a predicted model, not a curated record.